GAUGAACGCUGACAGAAUGCUUAACACAUCAGCAAUUGACUGGUGGCGGACGGGUGAGUAACGCGUAAAGAACUUGCCUCACAGGUAGGGACAACAUUUGGAAACGAAUGCUAAUACCUCAUAGUGUGUGAGAGCUUUGCGUCCCAUUAGCUAGUUGGAGAGGUAACAGCUCACCAAGGCGAUGAUGGGUAGCCGGCCUGAGAGGGUGAGCGGCCACAAGGGGACGGGGGCACGGGCCGUACUCCUACGGGAGGCAGGAGUGGGGAAUAUUGGACACUGUACCAAAGUCUGAUCCAGCAAUUCUGUGUGUAAGAUGAAUUUUUCGGAAUGUAAAGAGCUUUCAGUUGGGAAUCGGUACCAACAGAAGAAGGGACGGCUAACUACGUGCCAGCAGCCGCGGUAAUAC
This 406-nucleotide ribosomal RNA is filed under the name uncultured bacterium. RNAcentral's name for it is "partial 16S ribosomal RNA". It matches the Rfam family "Bacterial small subunit ribosomal RNA", at positions 28 to 526 of the family's 1533-position model. The record is from RNAcentral.